GGGGUUUCACCGUGUUAGCCAGGAUGGUCUUGAUCUUGUGACCUCGUGAUCCGCCUGUCUCGGCCUCCCAAAGUGCUGGGAUUACAGGCUUGAGCCACCGCGCCCAGCCGAGAGUUAUGUUUUAGAAAUGAAACUCUUCGGGGUCUUGUUUGGGGCUCCAAGCUUGAUAUAGAAGACUAUCAUACCCAGAGAGGGUAACUGAAACGAAAGAAAUUACUCCAGCAUCAAGCUAAAGACACGCCUUAAAGGAUGAGGAGGAGCAGAAAUCUUACCAGCAAGGCCAGAAAGAAGCUGUGCAUGAACAGCCUCUACUUUAGGCUCAGAAGGAAAAGAAGUUUACAGGAGACAAUCACUCUUAUACUCUUCCAUGGUCACAAACAAGAGGUCCCUGGAUCUGUAGGUGAGCAAGAGGUGAUCUGGGAUUUGGAGUCGGUACUGCAUUCUGAAUUCCCUGGCACAAUUAAAAGGCAAUAGAGCUAACAGUAGAAUCACCAAUUAUC
This 500-nucleotide long non-coding RNA is filed under the name Rhinopithecus bieti (black snub-nosed monkey). RNAcentral describes it as "lncRNA (ENSRBIG00000045045.1)". The record is from RNAcentral. Lineage: Eukaryota; Metazoa; Chordata; Mammalia; Primates; Cercopithecidae.